GAUGAACGCUUGCGGCGUGCCUAAUACAUGCAAGUCGAGCGAACAGAUAAGGAGCUUGCUCCUUUGACGUUAGCGGCGGACGGGUGAGUAACACGUGGGUAACCUACCUAUAAGACUGGGAUAACUUCGGGAAACCGGAGCUAAUACCGGAUAAUAUUUCGAACCGCAUGGUUCGAUAGUGAAAGAUGGUUUUGCUAUCACUUAUAGAUGGACCCGCGCCGUAUUAGCUAGUUGGUAAGGUAACGGCUUACCAAGGCGACGAUACGUAGCCGACCUGAGAGGGUGAUCGGCCACACUGGAACUGAGACACGGUCCAGACUCCUACGGGAGGCAGCAGUAGGGAAUCUUCCGCAAUGGGCGAAAGCCUGACGGAGCAACGCCGCGUGAGUGAUGAAGGUCUUCGGAUCGUAAAACUCUGUUAUUAGGGAAGAACAUACGUGUAAGUAACUGUGCAUGUCUUGACGGUACCUAAUCAGAAAGCCACGGCUAACUACGUGCCAGCAGCCGCGGUAAUACGUAGGUGGCAAGCGUUAUCCGGAAUUAUUGGGCGUAAAGCGCGCGUAGGCGGUUUUUUAAGUCUGAUGUGAAAGCCCACGGCUCAACCGUGGAGGGUCAUUGGAAACUGUAAAACUUGAGUGCAGAAGAGGAAAGUGGAAUUCCAUGUGUAGCGGUGAAAUGCGCAGAGAUAUGGAGGAACACCAGUGGCGAAGGCGACUUUCUGGUCUGUAACUGACGCUGAUGUGCGAAAGCGUGGGGAUCAAACAGGAUUAGAUACCCUGGCAGUCCACGCCGUAAACGAUGAGUGCUAAGUGUUAGGGGGUUUCCGCCCCUUAGUGCUGCAGCUAACGCAUUAAGCACUCCGCCUGGGGAGUACGACCGCAAGGUUGAAACUCAAAGGAAUUGACGGGGACCCGCACAAGCGGUGGAGCAUGUGGUUUAAUUCGAAGCAACGCGAAGAACCUUACCAAAUCUUGACAUCCUUUGACAACUCUAGAGAUAGAGCUUUCCCCUUCGGGGGACAAAGUGACAGGUGGUGCAUGGUUGUCGUCAGCUCGUGUCGUGAGAUGUUGGGUUAAGUCCCGCAACGAGCGCAACCCUUAAGCUUAGUUGCCAUCAUUAAGUUGGGCACUCUAAGUUGACUGCCGGUGACAAACCGGAGGAAGGUGGGGAUGACGUCAAAUCAUCAUGCCCCUUAUGAUUUGGGCUACACACGUGCUACAAUGGACAAUACAAAGGGCAGCGAAACCGCGAGGUCAAGCAAAUCCCAUAAAGUUGUUCUCAGUUCGGAUUGUAGUCUGCAACUCGACUACAUGAAGCUGGAAUCGCUAGUAAUCGUAGAUCAGCAUGCUACGGUGAAUACGUUCCCGGGUCU
Molecule: ribosomal RNA, 1372 nt
Filed under: uncultured bacterium
Lineage: Bacteria
Description: bacterial SSU rRNA
Rfam family: Bacterial small subunit ribosomal RNA
Source: RNAcentral